Neofelis nebulosa (Clouded leopard) is the source of this 478-nucleotide long non-coding RNA. RefSeq lists it as uncharacterized. The record is from RefSeq and is a predicted model, not a curated record. NCBI's taxonomy places the organism in Eukaryota, Metazoa, Chordata, Mammalia, Carnivora, Felidae. The transcript has 2 exons.
CAGCAUACUAAGGAAGAGAGCAAGGCAGCAGGGGGAAGGGCUCCCAGGGAACAGAGCAUGAUGUGAACUCCAAGACAUCAGCCAUUCCCUCAACUCCUAUACUGGACAAGAAAUGAACCCACAAUUCACCUGGCUCCAGAAUGCCUGGCCCUGGCAGUCUGGGUAUCCAUGGCAAUGGCAAACCAGACCUGGUGAAGCAUUAAUAGCAAAAAUAAGAGCACGUAGUUCUCCAGAAUAAAGACUACGCUUUCCAAUCUUCCCUGCUGCUGGGUACAACCAUGUGAAUGAGCUUUGAUCAAUGGGAUAUGAGGAGAAGCAAUGAAUGGAACCUUCGGGUCACCACUAAAAGGGAUGGGUUUGGAAUAUGGACAUCAUGGUGAACCCUCCUCUUCAAACCUACAGCAGACGUCACCCUAGAAUUAUACAGCUCAUGUCUGGAAUGUUACACGAGAGGGAAAUAAACAUCUGUUGGGUUUAA